RNAcentral lists this ribosomal RNA (431 nucleotides) under Methanoculleus sp. enrichment culture clone CIBANICRA-47. Its description in RNAcentral is "bacterial SSU rRNA". It matches the Rfam family "Archaeal small subunit ribosomal RNA", at positions 340 to 775 of the family's 1478-position model. Lineage: Archaea; Methanobacteriati; Methanobacteriota; Methanomicrobia; Methanomicrobiales; Methanomicrobiaceae. The record is from RNAcentral.
GGCCUAAACUUUCCACUGCUAUCAAUCGUGAUAAGGGAACCUCGAGUGCCUGUAUAUGCAGGCUGUCCAGGUGUCUAAAACACACCUGAAGAAAGGGCCGGGCAAGACCGGUGCCAGCCGCCGCGGUAAUACCGGCGGCUCGAGUGGUGGCCGCUUUUAUUGGGCUUAAAGCGUUCGUAGCUGGGUCGUUAAGUCUCUUGGGAAAUCCGGCAGCUCAACUGUCGGGCGUCUAAGAGAUACUGGCGAUCUUGGAACCGGGAGAGGUGAGGGGUACUUCGGGGGUAGGAGUGAAAUCCUGUAAUCCUCGAGGGACCACCUGUGGCGAAGGCGCCUCACCAGAACGGCUUCGACAGUGAGGGACGAAAGCUGGGGGAGCAAACCGGAUUAGAUACCCGGGUAGUCCCAGCCGUAAACAAUGCGCGGUUAGGUGA